RNAcentral lists this long non-coding RNA (2654 nucleotides) under Lynx pardinus (Iberian lynx). The record is from RNAcentral. Lineage: Eukaryota; Metazoa; Chordata; Mammalia; Carnivora; Felidae.
CACAGAACAGAGGACUGCAGUGGAGAGGUUCCCUGUGGUGCUUUAUUUUAGAGGGUGCUUUGGUCAGGACGAUCUGACUUGUAAGGUGGAAUCAAGCACUAGACUUCGUCGGUCUUUAACCACAGGCCUGACUUCCAGAGCAAAAUAAGAACAGAGAAGUUUUGAGGGUUUGGGCCAGCGAAUGAGAAAGUUACCAGCUUUGUGAUGCUCUUAAAAGUGGGGCUUGAACAAAGGUCUUUUCAUCAAAGGCAGGGACUUUUUUUCCAGGAAGCAAUAAGUCGAGAUUUGUUGUAUUAUCCCCAUCUUUUUGGGGGUCUGGACAGCCUCCGUUUGUUUUCCUGGGUUUCACUUGCCUCUCUGUCUUAACUGUAAGAAGCAACGUAGUUUGACGUUGUGUGUGAGUUCUGGGUCUAGAGCAGGGUUUCACAGACGUUUUCCGUGAAAGGUCACAUAUUAAAUAGUUCAUGUUUUGCGGGCUACAGGUUGCAUAUUCUCCAUGUUAAUUUUUAAAAUGGUUUGAGAUUUGCAGAAAAAUUGCAAAGAUAGUAUGAGAAUGCCCAGGUCUCCCCCACCAUUAACAACGUACGUUAGGGUGGGAUAUUAAUUCACAGUUGAUGAGCCAGGUUUGAUAUGUUAUCAUUAACUGAAAUCUGUGCUUUAUUCAGAUUUCCUUAGUUUUUACGUAAUGUUCUUCAUCUGUUCCAGGAUGCCAUCCAGGAGAUCCCAUUACAUUUCACUGUCAUGUGCCCUUAAGCUCCUCUUGGCUGAGACAGUUUCUCAGACUUCCCUUGUUUCUGAUGACCUUGACGGUUUUGAGAGGUACAGGUACUUGGUAGGAUGCCCCUCUCUCGGAACCUGAUGCUUUUCUCAUGAUUGGACUGGGUGUAUGGUUUUGGGGGUGGAAGAUCACAUUGCUUUCAUCUUGUCAUGGCAAGAAUACAUCACGAUUUAUGAUGGCUGAGUUUGAACUUGAUCAUCUGGUUGAGGUAGUUUGUCAGUUUUCUCCACUGUGAAGUUGUUCCUUUGUUUCCAAAGACCUUGUCUCCCUAAGUGACAGCCUUGUGUUUCAGGACCCCAGUUACUGGAUCCCAGUGACUCUGACCCUGCCUGAGUGGUCAGGUCUUUCUCUCUUAUCACCCCCUCACUUACUUGUAAGGACCCUUGCAUUACGUUGGGCCCACCUGGCAAAAUUCAGGGUACCUCCCUGUGUUGAGGUCAGGUGAGGAGCAACUCCCAAGUCCACCUGGGCCCUAGCUCCCCUCUGCUCUGUAAUGUAACAUAUUCACGGGCUCCAGGGCAAGGAUGUGGAUGGACAUCUUGGGGAGACCGUUUUCCUGCCUGUCACAGGCCUGUCCACCCAGCGUUCCCCUGAUGACUGCAAUAUACCCACUCCCCCAUGAUUAUGGUCUUUCUCUUUGUUGAUUUUUUUUUAAUUUGGGACUCUUAUGUUUCUUAUCAUGGGACUAAUUCAGGCCUGCCGCAAAAGCUUCAGUUCCCUAAGGAGCCCGUAAAGAAGAAACUCGAAAUUACCCAUAACUGUACCAUCCAGAGCUAAUUGCUGUUGAUUUUUUGGUAUGUAUGUGCCCAGCCCUUCCCUCCCUGUCUGUGCAUACAUGUGUGGUUUUUGUCCUCAGAGUCCUGGAUCCUGCUAAGUGAUAACGUAAGUGAGCCAUAGACUCUCCAGAUGUUAGUUUAUAGAGGCGUCCAAGUCAGCCGUGGGUCCCAUUGUACCUGUGUGCAUGUGGAGAGAAGUGUUCCAGUGAUCCUCAUCUUGCUUAGGAAAAAAAAUCUCUCACAUAUUUACACCUUCAAGGAUUAGAAAGGCAUCAUUUAAAAUUAAUUCCAUGAACAAAUUAUCAACACAGACAGGCUUUCAAAAUUAGAUUUUGUAAGAUUUGAAUUUUCCUUUCACAGAACGUGACUAUAAGUACUGACUUACUACAGAUACGAGCUGUACUCUAACAUUUGCACGGGCAGAUACGUGAGAAAGGUGUAAGGUGGCAGAAAUCUCCCCUGACAAUGGAGUAGGAGGUCCAGCCGCGUGCUGUCAGUUUGACACCUUCUCAGGUUAGAUUCUGAGCCGGAUUUUCCAUGCAGACUCCGGUCUGUCCCUCAUGUUCUCCUUGUGUGUCUCAGAAUGUUUUUUUGCUGAUGAUUUAAAAGAAUUUCAUUUCCCAAGAGGCUCGGAAAAUUGUUAGCAUGGAUUAUAUAGAAACAGGUUUGAGAAGCACCUUUCAGUAGAAGAAAGGAAAAGGCACGCUUGAGUUCCUUUCAUAAAAACAGUGUGAUGUGACUGAUUUUCAAUCAUAGCUGCUAACUGGUAUUAAGUAACUGUUAAUAUUAUUGUGUUUUAUAUAGAUUAUCUUAAUAGUUGCUGCAGUCCUACCUGCCCGAUACUGUUUUUACCCCCGUCUUACCCAUGGGGGAACAGACAGUGGGAGGUUAGCAACUGUCAGAGCUCAGAUUCACAUCCUAAAAGACCACAGGGCCUUAGUCUUAAUUUCACCAAGACCUCUUCUCCCAGAUUACACAUAUUUAUUAAACCUGUUUUCUUCACUUAGUAACUUACCUUAAUUUUUUUUCUUAAGGAAUAUAAGUCAGUAUCAUUGUUAGUAAAUGUAUUAUAUGCCAUUAUAACAGACCAUAAUUUAUUU